GAUGAACGCUGGCGGCGUGCUUAACACAUGCCAGUCGAACGAAGCAUUUAAGACAGAUUACUUCGGUUUGAGGUCUUUUAUGACUGAGUGGCGGACGGGUGAGUAACGCGUGGGUAACCUGCCUCAUACAGGGGGAUAGCAGCUGGAAACGGCUGGUAAUACCGCAUAAGCGCACAGUACCACAUGGUACAGUGUGAAAAACUCCGGUGGUAUGAGAUGGACCCGCGUCUGAUUAGCUUGUUGGCGGGGUAACGGCCCACCAAGGCGACGAUCAGUAGCCGACCUGAGAGGGUGACCGGCCACAUUGGGACUGAGACACGGCCCAGACUCCUACGGGAGGCAGCAGUGGGGAAUAUUGCACAAUGGAGGAAACUCUGAUGCAGCGACGCCGCGUGAGUGAAGAAGUAGUUCGCUAUGUAAAGCUCUAUCAGCAGGGAAGAUAGUGACGGUACCUGACGAAGAAGCUCCGGCUAAAUACGUG
Molecule: ribosomal RNA, 481 nt
Filed under: uncultured bacterium
Lineage: Bacteria
Description: partial 16S ribosomal RNA
Rfam family: Bacterial small subunit ribosomal RNA
Source: RNAcentral